RNAcentral lists this ribosomal RNA (268 nucleotides) under Cladosporium cladosporioides. Its description in RNAcentral is "partial 28S ribosomal RNA". It matches the Rfam family "Eukaryotic large subunit ribosomal RNA", at positions 1 to 264 of the family's 3401-position model. Lineage: Eukaryota; Fungi; Ascomycota; Dothideomycetes; Cladosporiales; Cladosporiaceae. The record is from RNAcentral.
GUUGACCUCGGAUCAGGUAGGGAUACCCGCUGAACUUAAGCAUAUCAAUAAGCGGAGGAAAAGAAACCAACAGGGAUUGCUCUAGUAACGGCGAGUGAAGCAGCAAUAGCUCAAAUUUGAAAUCUGGCGUCUUCGACGUCCGAGUUGUAAUUUGUAGAGGAUGCUUCUGAGUAACCACCGACCUAAGUUCCUUGGAACAGGACGUCAUAGAGGGUGAGAAUCCCGUAUGCGGUCGGAAAGGUGCUCUAUACGUAGCUCCUUCGACGAG